CUUGAAAACCCAAAAAACUCUGCAAAAAUAUCAUCAGCACUCCGUGGAUUGAAUCGGAAUGAUGCAGGAAUAUCUCCAGUGGAGAAGUAGGAAGUUCCACCAGCAUCAGGGGGUGGCACCGAGCCUUUUAGACCUUCUUCACCAUAUUGGUCAUAUACUGCUCUUUUCUGGGGAUCACUGAGAACCUCAUAGGCCUCGGAGAUUUGUUUAAACUUAGCUUCAGCCUCUUUCUUAUUAUUGGGGUUCUUAUCAGGAUGCCAUUUCAUGGCAAGCUUCCUAUAAGCCUUCUUCAAGUCAUCAUCUUUCGCAUUCCUGUCUACUUGUAAGAUCUUGUAGUAAUCUACCCCCAUCCUUUCUAUUCUUUCCUUUCCCUUCAAACAAACAAAAGCUUCGGUUCUCUGCUCGGUGACGGCGGGUUUCAAAGCUCUGCACUUGAUGAUGUUGGUGGUGGUGGUGG
This 457-nucleotide unclassified non-coding RNA is filed under the name Hevea brasiliensis (rubber tree). Lineage: Eukaryota; Viridiplantae; Streptophyta; Magnoliopsida; Malpighiales; Euphorbiaceae. The record is from RNAcentral.